RNAcentral lists this ribosomal RNA (301 nucleotides) under uncultured bacterium. Its description in RNAcentral is "partial 16S ribosomal RNA". It matches the Rfam family "Bacterial small subunit ribosomal RNA", at positions 509 to 807 of the family's 1533-position model. The record is from RNAcentral.
CAGCAGCCACGGUAAAACGUAAGUGGCAAGCGUUGUCCGGAAUUAUUUGGCGUAAAGGGCUCGCAGGCGGUUUCCUAAGUCUGAUGUGAAAGCCCCCGGCUCAACCGGGGAGGGUCAUUGGAAACUGGGAAACUUGAGUGCAGAAGAGGAGAGUGGAAUUCCAUGUGUAGCGGUGAAAUGCGUAGAUAUAUGGAGGAACACCAGUGGCGAAGGCGACUCUCUGGUCUGUAACUGACGCUGAGGCUCGAAAGCGUGGGUAGCAAACAGGAUUAGAUACCCCGGUAGUCCCUGUCUCUUAUAC